UACGUAGGGACCGAGCGUUGUCCGGAUUUAUUGGGCGUAAAGAGCUCGUAGGCGGUUCGGUAAGUCGGGUGUGAAAACCCCAGGCUCAACCUGGGGACGCCACUCGAUACUGCUGUGACUUGAGUUCGGUAGGGGAGCACGGAAUUCCUGGUGUAGCGGUGAAAUGCGCAGAUAUCAGGAGGAACACCGGUGGCGAAGGCGGUGCUCUGGGCCGAAACUGACGCUGAGGAGCGAAAGCGUGGGUAGCAAACAGG
RNAcentral lists this ribosomal RNA (254 nucleotides) under uncultured bacterium. RNAcentral describes it as "partial 16S ribosomal RNA". It matches the Rfam family "Bacterial small subunit ribosomal RNA", at positions 524 to 776 of the family's 1533-position model. The record is from RNAcentral.